Ailuropoda melanoleuca (giant panda) is the source of this 1227-nucleotide long non-coding RNA. RefSeq lists it as uncharacterized. NCBI's taxonomy places the organism in Eukaryota, Metazoa, Chordata, Mammalia, Carnivora, Ursidae. The transcript is spliced from 3 exons. The record is from RefSeq and is a predicted model, not a curated record.
CUGUCUGGGACAUAAGCCCAGUGAUCUUGCUUUUGAGGAACAAAAAGCCGCCUAUAAUUGCACCCUGAUUUCUACCUGUUUAUCCUGGGACUCUGAGCAGUCACAUUAAACACACCUGGUGUAGAAUUCCGGCCUUCCCCCUGCACCCCCCCUUCCCCCUUUGUCAUUGCCCCUUCUCAUCCUCUGACAUGUUCUGCCCCUCUCCAGCUCAGAGCAUAAAAUGAGGUUGUGGGGACACAGGCACUCCUGGUUUAACAGGACCUGGUUAUACUAGAUCUGGAUAUUGGUCAAAGGGGGAGGCAUCUCUCAAGCUAAACCUCUAACUUUGGCAACUCUCUCCACAUACACUUUGGAAUUCACUGUUUUUCAGGGAAAGAGGAAAACUCCCCUCCAAUUUUGGACUCACCCAAAUUUAUUAAUACCCAGUCCUUAAAGAGCUUGAGGGCAGAAUUAAACCACUGCCAGGGGCAAAAAAGCUGUUGAGGCCAGUGACCACGUGAGAGUACCACGGCAAUAUUACUUCAUGCUUUCACGGAGACUGGGAGAGUCUACUUUUUUUUUUUUCCUCAAAGAUUUUAUUUAUUUGACAGAGACAGCCAGCGAGAGAGAGAACACAAGCAGGGGGAGUGGGAGAGGAAGAAGCAGGCUCAUAGCGGAAGAGCCUGAUGUGGGGCUCGAUCCCACAACGCCGAGAUCACGCCCUGAGCCGAAGGCAGAUGCUUAACGGCUGCACCACCCAGGCGCCCCAAGGGAGAGUCUACUUUCAACUGUACUUGUGGCCUGGCAACUGAGUCAGAGAUGAUGCUAAAAACAAGUGCGAUGACAGGACUUCACAACAAGCCAUCCUCACUUCUCACAGUUUGUGGCUCCACCACCUUCCUGCUCCCCCCGCCUCUGUGUUCGGUAAGAAACGCCAUGUGUAGAAACAAAAGCAAACUGGUACAGAUGCUGCACAACCACUAGAAAAUCACGUGUGACGAUUCUAGCUGUGAACUCCCCAGGUGAGUCAAAUCCCUCACAGCACCAUGUACUGUGGCAGUCACCACACAGGGGAAUCCACGUUUACACCUUCCAGUGUGAUGAUUUGGCGGAUCAAGAGCAGACUGUCUGAAGCCCUCCACUCGAUGUAUUCAGAAGGCGGCAUACUUGGGAGACAAAGCCAACUCACCAAAUGAAUGAAAAUUUGCAGUAUAUUACAGAUUAAAUGAUUUCUUGAGGCUUAAAGGA